This 8865-nucleotide long non-coding RNA is filed under the name Podarcis lilfordi (Lilford's wall lizard). The record is from RNAcentral. Lineage: Eukaryota; Metazoa; Chordata; Lepidosauria; Squamata; Lacertidae.
GAGAAAGUGGUCAGGCACAGAUCUUUAAAGUUGCUGCCCGUGCCUGGAAAGUGUGGAGGAAAGGUAAGGUGGAUAAGCUCCGAGUGUGUGUAGAAAUUAGUCUGCUGCACAGAGGUAAAUGUCACAUUUGGUGCUUCGCCCAUUUUUGUCUCUGGUGCAACCCACUGCUCCCUGGUGGCCCCAGUGAGAAGCCCACAGCCUGAAAAAUGUUCCCCACUCUUGGGCUUAGGAGUAAACCCCAUCAAACUGAGCAAGGCUUACUCCUUAAUAGCUGCAUUUAGGAUUACAUUCUAAGUGUGUUUGUAUGGUGUGCUGUGCUUGGGUGACAAUUUUUGACCCCUGUUCUGCUGUUUUCAAUGUGUGCGUCUGUGCAUGUCUCUGUGUGUAUUCCUGUUCUCUGUCGGGAGUAAGAAAUGACUCAAACGUGGUGCUGGCCUUUGCUGUAACAUUGGCUCGAAUUUCCAGCAUAGGAAACCCGACGCGACCUGUGUUUCUUUGGCUUCUGCCUUCCUUCCAUUUCCCCCACGAUAGGGAAGCUGCUUCUUUCAGCUUUUCCAUUCACUGAAACAUUUCAGAUGUUUAAUGAGAUGCUCCAUGCCUCUCCCCCCCUCCACCCCGGGGGAAGCACAGACACCAAACGCACCUUUAGCUUAGGCUGCUUUUAGUAGGAAUGAUUGACAAGUUAGCACAGCCAACAUGCAAACAACCCCCUACCCUCCCCAAUCCCUCUAAAUUCAUUGGAAGCUCUUAUCGUACACAACUGAGGGAAAUGGAAGAGUUGGGUUGCUAUCUAGAGUGGCUCGCUCCGAGAGCUGUUUUGACUUCCCUAAAGUCUGAUUUCCGAGGGUUUUUAAAAGCCUCUUGCAAUGUCAGGUGUUCUCUGUGCUGACAGGCGUCUGUUUAUUGAUUCAGGAAAUCCAUCUUGCCUGGCUUUUAACAAGGUCUGCGAGCAAGUCGGCCCCUUCCGGAUUCUAAUUCAUUGCUUUUUCUGAAUGGGAGACUGCUGUGGAGGUGUCCGGUUUCACGAGCUGAGAACAUACCCUGUGAUGCCUCUUUCUUCCUUUUCAUUUCUUUUUGUUUUCUGCAACCUUCACAAGGAGGUUAUUUUCUCUGGUGGAUAAUAAUAAUGAUGAUGAUGAUGAUGAUGAUGAUGCAAGCAGACUAGAACAGCUGUUCCUUUAGCAAACCACACAAACAGCCUUUUCCAAGAAAGUUAAAAAGGAAACCUACGCUUUUUACAUUAAAAUUUGUUUUCAUGAAUCUGCCUUGAGCCAAAAUAUUUUAUUGCUAUUUAUGACAGUUGAGUUUAGACUGCAUCACAGGGAGAGAUUCUGCAUAUUUUGCUAACAGGCCACCCCUUGAGAUGGCAUUAAUUGGAAAAUGCAAGAAUGCAAUUCUGUGCGCAUGUUAUAUAUGCUAGGAAGUGCCCCUCGUUGAACGGAAUGUCUUUCUGAGGAAACAUGCAAAGGAUCGUCCUGCAUUCCAAUGAAAUGCUCUUGCAUCAGGGCUGCUGCCUCAGAAGAACGGCCAACUGGUCUUGAAAUAGCAAGUGGGUCAAUGACAUACCAGGCAUGAGAUAUCCUGUUCUCACAGUGGCCAAGCAUGCAAAUAAAGAGUUGCGUGGCAAGUCCCCUCCCCCAUGUGAAAUGAAGCCCCUGGACACAUUAUUUAAGGUUAAUGGGCAUAAAAAAGCCACAACUUUAUUGAUUACAGAAUUGAAAGGUAUUGGCCUUAGGCAUUGGCUCCUAUUGACUACCCGGCAUGGAGACUGGGAAGGGUUAUCCACAAGCCGUGGGAGUCCUGUUGAAGUACGCCAACUAGGAUCCCACGGGUGUCACCGCUCGGGGGCGUGCCGGAGGCCCUUACCUCCCUAGGUUUCGGACAAGGCAACGCCCCCCGGAGUCCUCUACCGGACUACCCUUUUCCUUGGGGGAAGGUGAUGGCGCUUCCUCCCCCCCAUUCAUUUGCAUAACAAUUAACCCCUGCCAAUGCCUAACCGCCAAUACCGCGGAAGUUGUGACGUUUGCUACGAGGUAGGCGAAAAAACCAAAAGGCUGGAAGUGCGCCAAAUUGGAAAAAUUCCUACCAGGCCCCUUGCGGCGACCAACCGGAGUCCAUUGCAAGGUCAUAGCUAGCUAAGCCUAAGGGUGGGUGGGAUGGGAAAACCGCUCAGCUGGAAAGGGGAAAGAGGGCGGUCCCCGGGCGUGCCUGGCCUUAAGUAGGCUAGGCCAUGCCUCCCCAGCCUGCUGAUUGGCGGGCCGGGUCGAAGGCACGCCCGGGGAUUCCCCGGAUCUCGCGGGGGCAAAGGGCCAGCCCCCGCGUGUGUGGGAAGGGGUAGCCCGCAACCCCCUCUCCUCCCAAGCUCGGAAAUGGCUUUGCCGUUUUGUUUCAAUGGCCCAGCUCUGUAGUCAUGCCCAGCCUAAUGAUCAACACUUUUAAGUCCCAUUGACUGCAGUGGGAGAGAUGUAAGCCCCUGUUUAAAUCUCUUGUUGCAACCAACAGGAGAUAAAAAGACGUUUUGAGGUUGACUAGUUCAUCUCCGGGUAGGCUAGGUAGCAAAGGGUAAUUUCAGGAGAUGUGGCUGUGAAUUGUGUAACGAGCUAAACCAGCUGAUAUUCCUCUUUGCUACAAACUAUAGUCGUACCUCCGCUUCCGAACGCCUUGGGAGUUUCAGCUCCCAAACGAUCGAAAACCGGAAGUGAUUGUUCUGGUUUUCGAACGUUCUUUUGGAAGCUGAACGUCCGGCAGGAGCUUCCUGCAGCCAAUCAGAAGCUGUGCUUUGGUUUCUGAAUGUUUUGGAAGUCGAAUGGACUUCCGGAACAGAUUCUGUUUGACUUUGGAGCUACAUCUGUAUUGAAGGUGCAUGAGCCCUGUCCUCUUGCACCCCAGGGGGUGUGCUUCCUUAAGAACUACACAUCCCAGAAUUCCUUUGUUCUGGCAUUUCCUAUAUGCACGUGCAGGAGAAUCCAGCAGGACGUGAUAACCAGCUGACAGCAAGAGAGUGAGACCCAUCACACAUACAGAGGAACAGCAUAAUAACCAGGGGCAAUUAGAGACAGUGGCAUUCAAUUCUGCCAAUAGGAUUUAAGUCAGCCUUUCUCAACUUGUGGGUCCCCAGAUGUUGUUGAACUACAACUCCCAUCACCCCUAGCUAGCAAGGCCAGAGCUUAGGGAUGAUGGGAGUUGUAGUCCAACAACAUCUGGGGACCCACAGGUUGAGAACCGCUGAUUGAAAUGACCCAGGACAAAUGGAAGUAAAUGAGUUUGGCAUCUGGUCUCCAGAGUGCAGAGAAGAGCUGGUUUUAGAUCUCAGAGACAGGGCACAGCAUGUAAAAAGCAUGUGUGCCUUACAUCACCAACCGAACCGUAUCUACUAAGAAGUAAGUCCGAUUGAAUUCAGUGGGGUUUACUGCUGGGUAAAGUGGGGCCAGGACUGCUGCUUUAGGGCGCAGCCACACUUCUGCUUGUCCCGUCUGAGAGGUUUUCUGUUUACCUUGCCGCUUCCCCCUGGAAAACCCACUCUUUGCUGCUGAAUCGGAGCAAAUGUCAAUCCAUGGAAAGGUGUGCCCGCUUAAGUCCCUGCUAAAGUCCCCUUAGAAAACUUUGGACCACUUCAGCCAACUGAACCAAAUUAGCCCAUUUAAGUCCCCUUCGCUAACUUAAGUUGCCUUCGUCAACUUAGCCAACUUAAAUCUCCUUAGCCAACAUAGCCCACUUAAGUCCCCACUUAGCCCACUUUAGUCCCCUUCAGCCCCCACUUGCAUUCCCACUUAAGCCCCACCUUAGCCCACUUACGUCCCCACUAAACUAGCACAAAACUAUGGCAUCACUUUUUUGGGGGGGACCCAGAAUUUUGGAGUCACCUGAUAAUGAAACUGCGAAAGUGGCAGGGAAAACGGGGGUCUGGACGAGCCCUCAGUGUACAGUUAAUACGUAAACGGUAAAAAAAGGGAAAAGAUUAAUACAUAUACCACGCUGCAGUUAGGCAGCCAGAAAAGAGAAGCAUUUAAACAAAGGAAUAAACAAAGGCAAAGGAUAAUCCAGUCGAUCCUCAGUUAUUUUCUAACACAGACAAGUGAUCAGAGGGAGGUUGUGUGUGUGUGUGUGUGUGUGUGUGUGUGUGUGUGUGUGCAGAGUCUGUGUUGGGCUCAGACAAAUGGUCCUUAGGCACUGUUAGUAACCUGAGUGCCAUUCGUUUGCCAGGAAAUAAGAGCAACAGAGCCAAAUAAGUCAGAUCCAAAGGAACAGCUUGCCUUUGACUAAUAUGUGUUUGAGCUUCAGCUUGACUUCGCCCUAAGCCAAGAUUUUGAAUUGCUGAAUUAAGUGCAAACGUGACGGGAGAUUUGAAUCAAAACAACUUUGUACUUGCUUGGCCAAGGUGUUAUUUGCGAAAAGAUGCUCUUGCCAGCUGUCCCUGCGACCUGGCUCUGAAGAUUUCAAGAAUCCCAAGCAUGCCAUUCUGAAACAGUUAGUACUCUUUUUGUGUGUCUGUGUGUGUAAAUAAAUUUUAUUGGUUUUACAAUUUCAACUUCAAAUAGUUAGUACUAUUAAUUCUGCCUCAUGGCAGAGAUAGGCAAAUCAUAGAAACGUAGUGCUGGAAGGGACCCUGUGGAUCACCUAGUCCAACCCCCGGCAAUGCAGGAAUAUGCAGCUGCCCCAUAUGGGGCUCGAACCUGCAACCUUGGCAUUAUCAGCACUGCACACUAGCCAACUGAGCUAUGCAGGUAUAAAAUCUGACAAUUCAGUUUCUCAUUUUUGUCAGUCUUCAAUUCUCCACAUUUCAACAUCAGGGUGUGGUGGUUUUAUUUAAAAAGGUCCUCAUCAGAAUUUACCAGUGUUUUAGUGCGAACUUCUUCUAAUGUGCAACUUUUUGCAAAGCAGUUUGGAGAAGCGUGGCUUGCAAACGACAGCAGUGUGUCCGCUCCCCUAUAAGGUAGGUUUGCCUUUCAAUGUGAGAUCAGGUGAGAUCGAAGCCCUUUAAGGCCUUUUAAAAGGUAAAGGGACCCCUGACCAUUAGGUCCAGUCUCUGACCGACUCUGGGGUUGCGGCGCUCAUCUCGCUUUAUUGGCCGAGGGAACCGGCGUUCAGCUUCCGGGUCAUGGGGCCAGCAUGAGUAACCAAAGGAGUACACAUGCACAUUCAAUUGCCCAACAGCAUCCACGUCACCCAGGAGAUCGCAGCCACAUAGAUAAGAAAAGGAGAGUGACUCUGUUGUCCGGAGAGGUUCACAGGGAGAAGACAUUUUCAACGGAGCUCAGCGAUGGAAGCACACUGAGGCACAUUGAGGCAGCACCGCGUUUUGAAAUUUUGCGCCCCUCACAAUUUUGCGCCAGGGGCUACUGUUAUUGUGUCCCCCCCUCCCAUGCUAUGGCACUGGAAGAGGUUAAGGAUAAAUUCCCACUAGGCAGAAACACUCAUGCAGGCUGCAGAGCAGGAAUCAGGGGAGGGUAUCUGUGGGUGGGGAGGGGUGCGUGGUCUAGGGAGAAACCUCAGAAGCCAGCUUUAGGUUUCCUAUCCCUGCAUUUGGAGGAGAGGGGAAUUUUGCUGGUUCCUCCAGCGUUUUCCCAACAACACCACCUUCCACUCUCUUCUGCAGGGACCCCCACAACUCCCUGAAGCAGAUUUUGAGGGUGUGAUGAGGGCUGCAGGGCAGAGUGAGAAUUGGCCAAAUUUCAUUCCUUCCUCUUCUGUUAGAGGACCUCUCACGCUAUUCCACGAGAGCAAGGGCACCAAUUUGGAUCCCACACUAAACGUGCAUAGGAUUGUCGCCUCACAGUGCCUGCCUACACGUGUUUCCUCAAAUGUAAGAGCUGAGAGGGGCCUGCUCCCUGGUUAGGUGGUAAGUAAAUGCAAGAAACACAUAAGCCAAUAGGAGUUACACGGCUCGGGGAAACGAUGUGGUUAUGCCUACAAUGAAAAGGAAAAGGAACGCAGCGUCACCACAUGGCAACCACUUCAAAAUAACUCCCGUUCCAUAAUGGCAAAGGUUUGAUGAAGUGGGCUACAGAAACACGCCAUUAGCAUCUGUGUCAACUGAAAUAAUGGCUUAAAAAAGAAAAAGAAAAAGCUAAGCCCCCUGACCUUGGCUGUUUUUGAACCACUUUUGCUUCAAGGUCUGAUAUCAACUCCUUAUAAUCAGAGUCAUUGUUUUCUGCAGUGCCUGCAGUUUGUACAUUUGACCACGAGGUGCCACUCUGUAACUCGUGCUGAAACCAGAGGUAUUUGUGUUCUCUAUUCUGUCCACCCCUUCUGAGGGACCAAAUCGGAGGGACUGGGCUGUUUUACCAUGCCCAGUGCCACCAGAGUAGCCUAUUUUUGAAAGGUCUUUGCUGAUUGGAUGUUAAUUCACUAAUCAUGCUAAUGCCAUUGUCUUAGUCUACUCUAGUGAUGGCUUCACAUGAUUGCUCUCCCCGCUACUGUAGAUAAGGUGGCAUUUUUCAGUCCACGAAAGCUCCAUACCAGGGUCCAGUCAGAAGUAGGGAAAAUGGGGUGCUCCAAAGUUGUCCAGGGCAAACAAUUAUAUCUAGGAAGUGUACCCCAAAUGCGAAUUUAUUGUCCCCUAAAAGCAUUGGCAUAAAGAUAGAUAGUGUUCAUAUUUUGUCAAGUCUUCUUGAAUUUCCUAACCACUCCAUUGUUUAUAUGUAUUCCAUUCCAUUACUUACAUCAUUUGGGGGAAACCUGGUAUCCCACCAGCAUCUGAAGUCUGAUUGGUGGGAAUGCAAGACACACCCACCUCUGUUGCCAUGGUUAUGGUCAGACCCUUGGAGAUGCAUUUUGCUACUUACCUGCUAUCCUUCCUCUCCAAGUUGGAGGCUUUUUGCUCCUGCAGGAUUUUGACUGGCUGGUUGUUUGGUAUUAAGUUUAUUUUUGCUGUUUCCUGCUUCCUGCUAUUGCAAGUCCCCCCCCCCCAAACAAAUUGUUGAUGUAAGGUGACUUGGGCACUGCUUUUAAGCCGGGAAAUCAAUACACCAGUGUUUUAAAUAAAGAAAUCAGACAAAACUCAUGUGUAGCUAGAGAUGGAUAAAUUUGCCAAUGUCAGUUUAUCAUUUUUUUGAUUUUCAGUUCAGUUCACUCCUUUUUGUGAUUUUUUUUUAAAAGUCUGCACGGAAAUUUGUACACAGUUCUGUGUAUAUUCCUUCUAAUAUACAGGUUUGUACUGGCAGUUUGUUUGCGAUAUAAUGAUUUCCCCCCUAUGUCCCUUUCACUUUUUGGUGCAUACUUUCCAUGAAUACACAUUUUUUUCCUACUUUUUUUUGGGGGGGGGCCUGGGGAACUGCCUCACAACAAUCUCCCCAGUCUGCAGAUACCAGGAUGGUCCACUUUAUGCAUGACAGCUUCCACGUUGUAGGAAGGCCCACAUUCAGAAUUGUGUAUGACACCAUGUCUGAAAACCAUGCAAGAGUCUAAUCUGCCAUUGUUAGACAUGGUUGGAGACAACACCCAUAAUACUCUUGUCCCCUCUUCCAAAGACAUAUUUCUUUUUUCUUUGCUCUGGAGGGUAGGACUCGAACCAAUGGCUUCAAGUUACAAUAAAGGAGAUUCCGACUAAACAUUUGGAAAAACUUUCUGAUAACAAGAGUAGCUUGACAGUGGAACGACCUCCCUCGGGAACUUGUGGAUUCCCCUUCCGUGGAGGUUUCUUUCUUUCUUUCUUUCUUUCUUUCUUUCUUUCUUUCUUUCUUAUAAUUUUCAUUGAUUUUCUUUUCUCAAAACAAGUAUCCACUAUCAUUGCUGAACAUACAUUUUCCAAUUCCCCCCCCUUCCCUGUUGACUUCCCUCAACUACCAUUUCUGGUUUAUGACAUCAGACGAUACAUUAUGCUGUUUAUUUAUAAUAUUAUGGUAUCACAUUGUUGUACUUCUUGUUCUCUGUAAAUAAAAUUGUAAACGUUUAUUUAAAUCCUGCCAGCGAGACCAUUUCUUUCUGUUGUUUCUGCAAAUAUAUUGUAAAGAGUUCCCAUCCUUUUUCAAAGUCACUAUUGUCCUUUGCACACAGUUUGUCCGUUAACUUUGCUAACUUUGGAGGUUUCUAAGAAGAUGUUGGGCGGCCGUCUGCCAUGGAUGCUUUGGCUGAGAUUCCCGCAUUGCAGGGGGUUGGACUAGAUGACCCUUGGUGUCUCUUCCAACUCUAUGAUUCUAUGGUUCUAUGAUUCUAAGGGAGAGCCUGGGGCCUUGGCAGUUAUUCCCUGAGCAGGCACACCUGGUCACAGUCUUGCCCACCGCCGUGAGAUGGAUUGCAUUUCUAUUUAAAUCACAGCCAUUAUUCCUCGCGUAGGUGCAAAGCAGCAAAUGCAAAUUUAAUGCAAAUCCACGCACUCCCUCAUCCUUUUCCUUUUUCCUUUUCCUUCUCAAGAGGGGAUGCAUUUUCUUCUUUUUCCUUUUUUCUUUUCAGGGAAUCCGUGAGUGGCUACCCUCGCCCUGAGCCGUUCUUUGCAGCUUCCAGAAGAUGGUGCCCUGCUGUCAGGAAACAGGCAUGAAACACACACACACACACCCCACCAGCAGUCAUUCCAGUCCAUUGGCAGAAUGUCAUGCCAAACGCUUUGUGUCUGUCAGCACAUUCCUGGAAGGUCACAGCAAAUGAAGAAGACUCCUGUGUGUAGGAGCUGGAGAAAGAGGAAUAUAUAUGUACACACACACACACACACACACACACACACACACACACAGUUGCAUCACAUGGUGGCCUUUUGGCUUCAACCACUCGAUUCCUGCAGUUAUAAACCUUUCCCAAUUGUUAUUCGGCUGCUUCCUCCGCAGGCCAAGGCAGGAUAUUCAUGACUGACUGGCCCCUGGAAGCUGGAAAGACUCCAGUUACUUUCCAUAGCACGGUUUCUGCUCACUUCCCUCCCGUCACAACCUGCCC